AUAAAUAAGCGGAGGAAAAGAAACCAAACGGGAUUCCCUUAGUAACGGCGAGCGAAAAGGGAAAUGUCCAGCACCAAGUCUUGACAUCUACGGUGUUCAAGAGAUGCGGUGUUAAUGUAUCGACCCAUCGUGCACUGUUCCACGUUUCAAGUUCCUACGACCGGGACUUCCAGAGCGGGUGUAAGACCCAUAGAGAUGCGGAACUAGUGUAUGCUGUGCGAUGCAUUCUAGAGUCAGGUUGCUUGAGAGUGCAGCUUAAAGUCGGUGGUAAACUCCAUCCAAGACUAAAUAUUACAGCGAGACCGAUAGCAAACAAGUACCGUGAGGGAAAGUUGCAAAGCACUUUGAAGAGAGAGUUCAAAAGUACGUGAAACCACUGGGAGGCAAACAGAUGGAACCACGAAGUGUGCGCCUCGGUCGAUUCAAUCAUCACCACUUGUCAAUUGUCGUAAAUUUGGGUCUCUUUGGAGGUUGAUUUGCGACAAUUUGCGAUGGGUGGUGUUGGUGCAUUUCGUGCCGAGGAUGCAAAGCCACGUUCAACUAGACAGUUGGGACGGCAGUAAUGAWAGGAUCGAAGAAAGGUGCCCGUCACGUGCUUGCAUUUGACGGCGUUAUAGUCUUUGAUCGGAACCGUCUCCUAACAUACUGGUUGAUAAAAGUUCUCCUAUUGGAGUGUUGGACCACGUCUGCCUGUGGUUGUUAGUCUGCAUUGCGUAAUGUUCUUUGCGUAUCUUUCGAUGCGAAAAGACUUUGCAAAAGUGCAGGUUAAUGGCUGCUUGCAAAAUGUGGUUUGAACUGUGGCGUGAGUAGGUCGGUCUCCAUCUGACCCGUCUUGAAACACGGACCAAGGAGCCUAUCAUAUACGCGAGUCACUCGGUCUUGUUUAGGCCUGGGAGGCGAAAUGAAAGUAAAGUUACGAGGCCCUGAUGGGUUGCAGUAGCAGCUCGCCCACUUUGUUUAUUCGGCAAUAUGGCGAAGCUGGAGCGUAUACGAUGGUACCCGAAAGAUGGUGAACUAUGCCUGGGCAAGACGAAGCCAGAGGAAACUCUGGUGGAGGUCUGUAGCGAUUCUGACGUGCAAAUCGAUCGUCAGACCUGGGUAUAGGGGCGAAAGACUAAUCGAACCAUCUAGUAGCUGGUUCCCUCCGAAGUUUCCCUCAGGAUAGCAGGCGUUUAGUUAGUAGUCUCAUCCGGUAAAGCUAAUGAUUAGAGGUCUUGGGGUUGAAACGACCUCAACCUAUUCUCAAACUUUAAAUGGGUGAGAUGGUUGACUUUCUUGAUUGAAGCCAACCAUUUGGAUACGAAUGCCUAGUGGGCCAUUUUUGGUAAGCAGAACUGGCGCUGUGGGAUGAACCAAACGUCGAGAUAAGGCAUCAAAUGCGUACGCUCAUCAGACCCCAUGAAAGGUGUUGGUUGCUAUAGACAGCAGGACGGUGGCCAUGGAAGUCGGAAUCCGCCAAGGAGUGUGUAACAACUCACCUGCCGAAGCAACUAGCCCUGAAAAUGGACGAUGCUGUAGCGUGGAGCCGAUACUCGACCGUUGUAGUAAAUUUGAAAUUAAGAUAUUACAACGAGUAGGAGGGCCGCAGUGUUGGCGUGGAAGGUGUCCGGCGUGAGCCGGCCUGGAGCCAUCAUUGUU
Molecule: ribosomal RNA, 1638 nt
Filed under: Proctophyllodes habiae
Lineage: Eukaryota; Metazoa; Arthropoda; Arachnida; Sarcoptiformes; Proctophyllodidae
Description: eukaryotic LSU rRNA
Rfam family: Eukaryotic large subunit ribosomal RNA
Source: RNAcentral